Molecule: long non-coding RNA, 230 nt
Filed under: Brassica rapa (field mustard)
Lineage: Eukaryota; Viridiplantae; Streptophyta; Magnoliopsida; Brassicales; Brassicaceae
Description: long non-coding RNA (BRAP_LNC005584)
Source: RNAcentral
GAAUCUCAGUGCCUUCCGAACCCUCUUCGGCGUAAAAGAAGUCCAGAAGAAGGGACCAUUCCUGAGAAGAUCCCUCACCGAAAUGAUGUCUUCGGGGAACGGAGCAAAAGGGUUGAUGAAGGGACGAUCAUUCGGCAACCUCCGGAACAGUGGAAUGCAACUCUCUUCGACGGAUGCAGCGUCUAUACGAACAAAGAAAAAGAACUUCUUCCACGAGUUGAAGUUCGAAA